Molecule: long non-coding RNA, 205 nt
Filed under: Mytilus galloprovincialis (Mediterranean mussel)
Lineage: Eukaryota; Metazoa; Mollusca; Bivalvia; Mytilida; Mytilidae
Source: RNAcentral
CUCUGUUUGUGUUCAGUAUUCUCGGUCCUCGUAUCUUUCUGUUUACAUUCACCAAAACCCCGUGGAAAUCUCACAUGCGUAGGUGCGUUCUAAAAGUCAUCUACGUUCGUAUAACAAAGUUUACAUUAAAAAUUAUAUAAUUGUCCCGAAUAAACAGCUGUCACGGAUACAAAGAGGUAUUGGAGAAACAAUUAUUUUAAUAAAA